This 504-nucleotide ribosomal RNA is filed under the name Troides helena hephaestus. Its description in RNAcentral is "partial 16S ribosomal RNA". The record is from RNAcentral. Lineage: Eukaryota; Metazoa; Arthropoda; Insecta; Lepidoptera; Papilionidae.
UUUUUGUAUUUAAUAUAAAGUCUAAUCUGCCCACUGAUAAUUUAUUAAAGGGCUGCAGUAUUUUGACUGUACAAAGGUAGCAUAAUCAUUUGUCUCUUAAUUGGUGACUAGUAUGAAAGAUUGGAUGAAAUAUAGACUGUCUCAUUAUAAUGAAUAAAAUUUAAUUUUUUAGUAAAAAAGCUAAAAUAGUUUUAAAAGACGAGAAGACCCUAUAGAGUUUAAUAAUUAUUUUUAUAUAGAAUAAAAUAUAAAAAUUUAAAUUUAAAUGAAAGUAAUUAUUUUGUUGGGGUGAUAGAAAAAUUAAAUUAACUUUUUUUAAAGAUAAACAUUAAUAAAUGAAUAAAUGAUCCAUUAAUAAUGAUUAUAAGAAAAAAUUACCUUAGGGAUAACAGCGUAAUUUUUUUUUUUAGGCCAAAUAAGAAAAAGAGUUUGCGACCUCGAUGUUGGAUUAAGAUAAAAUUUAAAUGUAAAAGUUUAAAGUUUUGAUCUGUUCGAUCAUUAAAA